AAAUUGAAGAGUUUGAUCAUGGCUCAGAUUGAACGCUGGCGGCAGGCCUAACACAUGCAAGUCGAACGGUAACAGGAAACAGCUUGCUGUUUCGCUGACGAGUGGCGGACGGGUGAGUAAUGUCUGGGAAACUGCCUGAUGGAGGGGGAUAACUACUGGAAACGGUAGCUAAUACCGCAUAACGUCGCAAGACCAAAGAGGGGGACCCUCGGG
Molecule: ribosomal RNA, 213 nt
Filed under: Escherichia coli
Lineage: Bacteria; Pseudomonadati; Pseudomonadota; Gammaproteobacteria; Enterobacterales; Enterobacteriaceae
Description: partial 16S ribosomal RNA
Rfam family: Bacterial small subunit ribosomal RNA
Source: RNAcentral